AAUGUUUAGAAAAAAAAGCUGCACUUAACCCUCCUGUUGUCCUCAUUUUCUGUAUACACCCUGUGUCCUCCGGUUCAAAAUGACCCGUCUUCACUAAACCCCCAAUAUAAGCAGCUUAAUUGAAUUUUAAACACCAAAUUUCA
This is a long non-coding RNA of Thalassophryne amazonica, 143 nucleotides long. RefSeq lists it as uncharacterized. Lineage: Eukaryota; Metazoa; Chordata; Actinopteri; Batrachoidiformes; Batrachoididae. The record is from RefSeq and is a predicted model, not a curated record. The transcript has 3 exons.